Molecule: ribosomal RNA, 269 nt
Filed under: uncultured prokaryote
Description: partial 16S ribosomal RNA
Rfam family: Bacterial small subunit ribosomal RNA
Source: RNAcentral
UACGUAGGAGGCGAGCGUUAUCCGGAUUCAUUGGGCGUAAAGAGCGCGUAGGCGGCCCAUUAAGUCAACCGUGAAAUCCCCCGGCUUAACUGGGAGAGGUCGGUUGAUACUGGUGGGCUUGAGGGCAGCAGGGGAAGGUGGAAUUCCCGGUGUAGCGGUGAAAUGCGUAGAGAUCGGGAGGAACACCAGUGGCGAAGGCGGCCUUCUGGGCUGUUUCUGACGCUGAGGCGCGAGAGCGUGGGGAGCAAACAGGAUUAGAUACCCGCGUA